RNAcentral lists this ribosomal RNA (451 nucleotides) under uncultured bacterium. Its description in RNAcentral is "partial 16S ribosomal RNA". It matches the Rfam family "Bacterial small subunit ribosomal RNA", at positions 339 to 795 of the family's 1533-position model. The record is from RNAcentral.
CUACGGGCGGCUGCAGUGGGGAAUUUUGCGCAAUGGGCGGAAGCCUGACGCAGCAACGCCGCGUGGAGGAUGAAGGCCUUCGGGUCGUAAACUCCUGUCAGGGGGGACGAAAGCCUUAACGGGUUUGACUGUACCCUCUGAGGAAGCCACGGCUAACUCCGUGCCAGCAGCCGCGGUAAUACGGAGGUGGCAAGCGUUGUUCGGAAUUAUUGGGCGUAAAGGGCGCGUAGGCGGCUUGGCAAGUCAGAUGUGAAAGCCCCGGGCUUAACUCGGGAAUUGCAUCUGAAACUGCUUGGCUUGAGUCCCGGAGGGGGUAGUGGAAUUCCCAGUGUAGCGGUGAAAUGCGUAGAUAUUGGGAGGAACACCUGCGGCGAAGGCGGCUACCUGGACGGUGACUGACGUUGAGGCGCGAAAGCUAGGGGAGCGAACGGGAUUAGAUACCCUUGUAGUC